RNAcentral lists this ribosomal RNA (460 nucleotides) under uncultured bacterium. RNAcentral describes it as "partial 16S ribosomal RNA". It matches the Rfam family "Bacterial small subunit ribosomal RNA", at positions 338 to 795 of the family's 1533-position model. The record is from RNAcentral.
CCUACGGGAGGCAGCAGUGAGGAAUAUUGGUCAAUGGCCGGAAGGCUGAACCAGCCAUGCCGCGUGAAGGUCAGUGCCCUAUGGGCGUUAAACUUCUUUUGUGCGGGAGCAAUAAUGGUCACGUGUGGCCAGACGAGAGUACCGUACGAAUAAGCAUCGGCUAACUCCGUGGCCGCAGCCGCGGUAAGACGGGGGAUGCAAGCGUUAUCCGGGUUUAUUGGGGUUAAAGGGGGCGUAGGCUGUGAGGUAAGUCAGCGGUGAAAUGCCUCCGCUCAACGGGGUGAAGUGCCAUUGAUACUGGCUUGCUGGAAUGCGGGUGCCGUGGGAGGAAUGUGUGGUGUAGCGGUGAAAUGCAUAGAUAUCACACAGAACACCGAUUGCGAAGGCAGCUCACGAAUCCGCGAUUGACGCUGAUGCACGAAAGCGUGGGUAUCAAACAGGAUUAGAUACCCCAGUAGUC